GAGCGGCCGAUGUCGGAUUAGCUAGUUGGCGGGGUAACGGCCCACCAAGGCUACGAUCCGUAGCUGGUCUGAGAGGACGACCAGCCACACUGGAACUGAGACACGGUCCAGACUCCUACGGGAGGCAGCAGUGGGGAAUUUUGGACAAUGGGCGCAAGCCUGAUCCAGCCAUGCCGCGUGAGCGAAGAAGGCCUUCGGGUUGUAAAGCUCUUUCGGCGGGGACGAAAAGGUCCGUGCUAACACCACGGAUCCAUGACGGUACCCGCAGAAGAAGCACCGGCUAACUACGUGCCAGCAGCCGCGGUAAUACGUAGGGUGCAGGCGUUAAUCGGAAUUACUGGGCGUAAAGCGUGCGCAGGCGGUCUAUUAAGACAGGUGUGAAAUCCCCGGGCUUAACCUGGGAACUGCGCUUGUAACUGAUAGGCUGGAGUGUGGCAGAGGGGGGUGGAAUUCCAGGGGUAGCAGUGAAAUGCGUAGAGAUCUGGAGGAACACCGAUGGCGAAGGCAGCCCCCUGGGCUAACACUGACGCUCAUGCACGAAAGCGUGGGGAGCAAACAGGAUUAGAUACCCUGGUAGUCCACGCCCUAAACUAUGUCAACUGGUUGU
RNAcentral lists this ribosomal RNA (607 nucleotides) under uncultured Pseudomonadota bacterium. Its description in RNAcentral is "bacterial SSU rRNA". It matches the Rfam family "Bacterial small subunit ribosomal RNA", at positions 224 to 823 of the family's 1533-position model. The record is from RNAcentral. Lineage: Bacteria; Pseudomonadati; Pseudomonadota.